Molecule: long non-coding RNA, 1860 nt
Organism: Aegilops tauschii subsp. strangulata
Lineage: Eukaryota; Viridiplantae; Streptophyta; Magnoliopsida; Poales; Poaceae
Source: RefSeq, a predicted model, not a curated record
CAGCAGCAGCACCCAACCCAAACCAGCCCUCGCACACUCUGUCUUCUUCCUCCUCUCUCCCCCCCACCCAACGACCCGCCGGCAACCUCCUCUCGCCCAGCCACCGCCGGCGCCCCCCGCCCUCUCCUCCCCUCCGUAGUCUCCGCAUCCAACCUCCACAGCUUUCCCUCCCCGCGCCCGAAAGCCCACACGUCCACGGCAACCAAUCUCUGGAUCCGCAUCGCAGGAUGCCGCUGGAUCCGGGAGCAGGGCGUCUCACCCUGCAGCCGCCGUUCGGGUCGAGCUCCGCGGCGGCGAAUGCCGGUGCUCCUCUGCUUCCUCGACAACCAAGGACGCAGGCCCUGGAUCCGUGCUCGCCUUCUUCCUCCACCAGCCUCGGUGCCCAACUCCCUUCACCCGCCGUCGCCGUCGCCAUCGUGGACUCCCAAGCAGUCGAGGAGCAUGAGGACCCGAGCUCGAGCGCGACCACGAUGCAACGCACAAGGUCCCUGUUUCCUGCACAAGUAUACAAAACACCUUGCUUGGUUGGGGAGCAGCAACAUCAAGGCUGUUGAACAAACAGCAAUAUCAAGACGUUGAACAAAUAGCAACAUCAGUUGCUGAUAGCGUACUGAGUUACUCACCAUGAACCGUCCUCAUUCUGUAACUUCUGAAUGAAUUCAGUCACUCACCUGAUGCAUUGUUCUACUUCAUCUUCUUGAUGCCCAGGGUGUUUCAGUACCACCGCUUGUAUGACCAACGAGGAACAAGCUAAGGUGGUGGCUGCCGAUUUGCCGCGUCAACAAGGUCUCGUUCCUCCCUGGUUUGCACAAGCUACGUCAGGCAACUGCAAACCCCGUACGACCAUGGCCCACACCCCUGAAGCUUCCCCUGUCCGCAACAACUUCUGGAUCAAAGGAUUGUUGCUUAAUCCCGGGCUGCUCUACCUUGAAGGAAAAGGGGUCCUCCUUGAGAUCAUAUAGAUGGCGCAAGGAAAAUGGUAAUAUGGUCAUUGUGGUGGGUGAGGGUGCUGGCCAAGAUCUCAUCGCCUAAAGCAUCAAUUUUGUGGACCUCACCAUCCCUUCCUUGGUUUGACAGAGGAGGAUGGAUCGAGGACCGUCCGUUGCGGAUUCGCCGCCUCACCUGUGUCGGUCUCGUGCGUGGCUGGGGUUCUUCGCCGAGCACCAACAUCGUCCAUGGAGCCAGCGAGCUCACACACCUGCACCUUCAGAAGCACCACGUUAGCUACUUGAACAUCAAGUGCUACGACGAGGUUGCUGGGCGCUAGCCGUGGCGUCCGACGCGUGUAAUGAUUGAAGGUUUUUUGGGUCAGUGCUCGUGCGACGCCGGCGCCACUGGUACUGUACGGCCUCGGCUAUAGUCGUUCUGGAUUGUUGCUUAAUCCCAGGGCUGCUCUACCUUGAAGGAAAAGGGGUCCUCCUUGAGAUCAUAUAGAUGGCGCAAGGACAAUGGUCAUAUGGUCGUUGUGGUGGCUGAGGAUGCUGGCCAAGAUCUCAUCGCCCAAAGCAUGAAGUUUGUGGACCUCACCAUCCCUUCCUCUGUUUGGGUGAGUCCUUGGUCUUCUCUCUCUGUCUCUCUCUCUGAGAUGGUCCGGCCAUCGAGCUGUGGGUGAUUCUGGUGCUGGCAAUCAAGCCGCUGAUUUAGUGUUUGGAUUUGUGGUGGCCUUCUUUUGUGAUUGUGAUUGUGCUCGUCUUUCUUGUUGAUCAAAUUGGUCUCUUGUAAUUCUACGAUGGGCCCUUUUAACUCUGCAUGCUACAGGGUUUGGUUAUGGUCCAUGUUUAUUCUUGAUAGGAUCCUUAGGCUGGGAUUUUGACUUGUUAAUGGCUAUCAAAUAAAACAAAAUGCUUACCUAUUGGUGUA